CAUAAACCUUGUGUUUAAAUUUCAUAGAUUUCUAUUUACUUAUACUAAAGUUAUAGUGCGAAAACCAAAUAUCUUUGGAUGACGACGACGAUGUCAACGGCAACGUCAUACCAAUAUACGACCAAAAUUUUUUCAUUUUUUGCGGUUGUAUAAAAACAAAUAUACACAGAUAAAUGGUUAAACUGUUGAGCAGACAUACAAUUACCCGGCCACGUCCAC
RNAcentral lists this long non-coding RNA (219 nucleotides) under Mytilus galloprovincialis (Mediterranean mussel). The record is from RNAcentral. Lineage: Eukaryota; Metazoa; Mollusca; Bivalvia; Mytilida; Mytilidae.